UUGGUCUUACCAUUUUAUAUUACUUGUGCGACUCGGUACACUUUCCGAAUUUCCCCCAACAAGUUUUUGGCGUCGUUGCUGGGGACUCACGGUUUAAGCUAUUCUAUUUGUGUGAUUCUUGAUUGAUUUUGACUUUAUUUUAUUUUAUUUUAUUUUAUUCCAUCAAUUUUUAUUUUUAUUUUUAAAUCCCCAAUUUCCA
Molecule: long non-coding RNA, 199 nt
Filed under: Vigna radiata
Lineage: Eukaryota; Viridiplantae; Streptophyta; Magnoliopsida; Fabales; Fabaceae
Description: long non-coding RNA (VRAD_LNC013927)
Source: RNAcentral